UGCUCGGAAAUCAUUAAAAUA
Non-coding RNA from Caenorhabditis elegans, 21 nucleotides. NCBI's taxonomy places the organism in Eukaryota, Metazoa, Nematoda, Chromadorea, Rhabditida, Rhabditidae. The record is from Ensembl.